CCUUAACCUGCUAAAUAGCCCGGCUCGCUUUGGCGGGUCGCCGGCUUCUUAGAGGGACUAUCGGCUCAAGCCGAUGGAAGUUUGAGGCAAUAACAGGUCUGUGAUGCCCUUAGAUGUUCUGGGCUGCACGCGCGCUACACUGACAGAGCCAACGAGUUUUUUUCCUUGGCCGGAAGGUCUGGGUAAUCUUGUUAAACUCUGUCGUGCUGGGGAUAGAGCAUUGCAAUUAUUGCUCUUCAACGAGGAAUGCCUAGUAAGCGCAUGUCAUCAGCAUGCGUUGAUUACGUCCCUGCCCUUUGUACACACCGCCCGUCGCUACUACCGAUUGAAUGGCUCAGUGAGGCCUUCGGACUGGCUCCAGGAGGUCGGCAACGACCACCCAGAGCCGGAAAGUUGUUCAAACUUGGUCAUUUAGAGGAAGUAAAAGUCG
Molecule: ribosomal RNA, 430 nt
Filed under: Dothideomycetes sp.
Lineage: Eukaryota; Fungi; Ascomycota; Dothideomycetes
Description: SSU rRNA
Rfam family: Eukaryotic small subunit ribosomal RNA
Source: RNAcentral